Molecule: ribosomal RNA, 403 nt
Filed under: uncultured bacterium
Lineage: Bacteria
Description: bacterial SSU rRNA
Rfam family: Bacterial small subunit ribosomal RNA
Source: RNAcentral
UGGGGAAUCUUGCACAAUGGGGGAAACCCUGAUGCAGCGACGCCGCGUGAGCGAUGAAGCCCUUCGGGGUGUAAAGCUCUUUCGGCAGGGAAGAUGAUGACGGUACCUGCAGAAGCAGCUGCGGCUAACUACGUGCCAGCAGCCGCGGUAAUACGUAGGCAGCGAGCGUUGUUCGGAGUUACUGGGCGUAAAGGGUGUGUAGGCGGUUGUUUAAGUUUGGUGUGAAAUCUCCCGGCUCAACCGGGAGGGUGCGCCGAAUACUGAAUGACUAGAGUGUGGGAGAGGUGAGUGGAAUUCCUGGUGUAGCGGUGAAAUGCGUAGAUAUCAGGAGGAACACCGGUGGUGUAGACGGCUCACUGGACCAUAACUGACGCUGAGACACGAAAGCGUGGGUAGCAAACAG